AACGCAAUCAAUACAAUACGAAGGUUCCAACCAGGAACAGUAUUCAACAAACAGAUUGCAUAAGGAAGGUAUCAACAACAUAACACAUCCUAUAUUAUUACAUACAUUCACAUUCACAUAUUUUUACAUCACAGUUCUCAUUUGAUUCCUCCAAAUACAAUCUAAGUUAUUACAUCAUUUACUGCGGACAGAGUUCCCCUGUACAUUCAAGGCAACGCAAUCAAUACAAUACGAAGGUUCCAACCAGGAACAGUAUUCAACAAACAGAUUGCAUAAGGAAGGUAUCAACAACAUAACACAUCCUAUAUUAUUACAUACAUUCACAUUCACAUAUUUUUACAUCACAGUUCUCAUUUGAUUCCUCCAAAUACAAUCUAAGUUAUUACAUCAUUUACUUAUUACAGUUUGAUACAUUGUGUUCUUUCAUUC
This 429-nucleotide long non-coding RNA is filed under the name Ananas comosus (pineapple). RNAcentral's name for it is "long non-coding RNA (ACOM_LNC026862)". Lineage: Eukaryota; Viridiplantae; Streptophyta; Magnoliopsida; Poales; Bromeliaceae. The record is from RNAcentral.